RNAcentral lists this ribosomal RNA (477 nucleotides) under uncultured bacterium. RNAcentral's name for it is "bacterial SSU rRNA". It matches the Rfam family "Bacterial small subunit ribosomal RNA", at positions 40 to 498 of the family's 1533-position model. The record is from RNAcentral.
CGGUAACUUUUAAACAUGCAAGUCGAGCGGUAACAGACAUAAAGAUUCAGCUUGCUGAAUCCGGUGCUGACGAGCGGCGAACGGGUGAGUAACGCGUAGGAAUCUACCCAGUAGCGGGGGAUAGCCAGAGGAAACUCUGAUUAAUACCGCAUACGCCCUGAGGGGGAAAGGGGGCAAUUUAUUGCUCUCACUAUUGGAUGAGCCUGCGUAAGAUUAGCUUGUUGGUAGGGUAAAAGCCUACCAAGGCGACGAUCUUUAGCUGGUCUGAGAGGAUGAUCAGCCACAUCGGGACUGAGACACGGCCCGAACUCCUACGGGAGGCAGCAGUGGGGAAUAUUGGACAAUGGGGGCAACCCUGAUCCAGCAAUACCGCGUGUGUGAAGAAGGCCUGAGGGUUGUAAAGCACUUUCAAUUGUGAAGAAAAGUUAGCGGUUAAUAACCGUUAGCCUUGACGUUAACUUAGAAGAAGCACCGGCU